GGGGACUUAGCUUAGUGUUAGAGCACUUGUCUAAUGUGUAAGGCCUUGGUUUUAGUCCCCA
This 61-nucleotide transfer RNA is filed under the name Heterocephalus glaber (naked mole-rat). It matches the Rfam family "tRNA". From Rfam's summary of the family: Transfer RNA (tRNA) molecules are approximately 80 nucleotides in length. Their secondary structure includes four short double-helical elements and three loops (D, anti-codon, and T loops). The record is from Rfam by way of RNAcentral. Lineage: Eukaryota; Metazoa; Chordata; Mammalia; Rodentia; Bathyergidae.